RNAcentral lists this ribosomal RNA (274 nucleotides) under uncultured bacterium. RNAcentral describes it as "partial 16S ribosomal RNA". It matches the Rfam family "Bacterial small subunit ribosomal RNA", at positions 28 to 334 of the family's 1533-position model. The record is from RNAcentral.
GGUGAACGCUGGCGGCGUGGAUAAGGCAUGCAAGUCGAAUGCAUUUAGUUGCAUGGCAGACGAGGUAGUAACACGUAGGUACGUACCCCAAAGUCGGGCAUAAUCAGUCGAAAGACUGGAUAAUUCCCGAUGGUCCCGCAAGGGUAAAGAUUUAUCGCUUUGGGAGCGGCCUGCGUAGUAUCAGCUUGUUGGUAAGGUAAUGGCUUACCAAGGCUAUGACGCUUAGGGGAGGUGAGAGCCCGACCCCCACCGAUGGAACUGCGACACGGUCCAU